CGGAGAUUCAGCAAUGGAUCUUAGUGGCGAACGGGUGAGUAACGCGUAGGCAAUCUGCCUUCUAGAUGGGGACAACAUCCCGAAAGGGGUGCUAAUACCGAAUGUUGUACCGUUUCCGCAUGGAGAUGAUACUAAAGGUGGCCUCUGAAUAUGCUACCGCUAGAAGAUGAGCCUGCGUCUGAUUAGCUAGUUGGAGGGGUAACGGCCCACCAAGGCUUCGAUCAGUAGCCGGUCUGAGAGGAUGA
This 245-nucleotide ribosomal RNA is filed under the name uncultured Anaeromusa sp. RNAcentral's name for it is "partial 16S ribosomal RNA". It matches the Rfam family "Bacterial small subunit ribosomal RNA", at positions 67 to 303 of the family's 1533-position model. The record is from RNAcentral. Lineage: Bacteria; Bacillati; Bacillota; Negativicutes; Selenomonadales; Sporomusaceae.